AUAACACGUAAAGAACCUGCCCAUAGGUCUGGGAUAACCACGAGAAAUCGGGGCUAAUACCGGAUGUGUCAUCGGACCGCAUGGUCCGCUGAUGAAAGGCGCUCCGGCGUCGCCCAUGGAUGGCUUUGCGGUGCAUUAGCUAGUUGGUGGGGUAACGGCCCACCAAGGCGACGAUGCAUAGCCGACCUGAGAGGGUGAUCGGCCACACUGGGACUGAGACACGGCCCAGACUCCUACGGGAGGCAGCAGUAGGGAAUCUUCCACAAUGGACGAAAGUCUGAUGGAGCAACGCCGCGUGAACGAUGAAGGCUUUCGGGUCGUAAAGUUCUGUUGUAAGGGAAGAACAAGUGCCGCAGGCAAUGGCGGCACCUUGACGGUACCUUGCGAGAAAGCCACGGCUAACUACGUGCCAGCAGCCGCGGUAAUACGUAGGUGGCAAGCGUUGUCCGGAAUUAUUGGGCGUAAAGCGCGCGCAGGCGGCCUCUUAAGUCUGAUGUGAAAGCCCCCGGCUCAACCGGGGAGGGCCAUUGGAAACUGGGAGGCUUGAGUAUAGGAGAGAAGAGUGGAAUUCCACGUGUAGCGGUGAAAUGCGUAGAGAUGUGGAGGAACACCAGUGGCGAAGGCGACUCUUUGGCCUAUAACUGACGCUGAGGCG
This 655-nucleotide ribosomal RNA is filed under the name uncultured bacterium. RNAcentral describes it as "bacterial SSU rRNA". It matches the Rfam family "Bacterial small subunit ribosomal RNA", at positions 110 to 753 of the family's 1533-position model. The record is from RNAcentral.